GACGUAGGGGGCAAGCGUUGUCCGGAAUCAUUGGGCGUAAAGCGCGCGUAGGCGGCCCGGUAAGUCCGCUGUGAAAGUCCAGGGCUCAACCCUGGAAAGCCGGUGGAUACUGUCGGGCUAGAGUCCGGAAGAGGCGAGUGGAAUUCCUGGUGUAGCGGUGGAAUGCGCAGAUAUCAGGAGGAACACCGAUGGCGAAGGCAGCUCGCUGGGACGGUACUGACGCUGAGGCGCGAAAGCGUGGGGAGCGAACAGG
RNAcentral lists this ribosomal RNA (253 nucleotides) under uncultured bacterium. Its description in RNAcentral is "partial 16S ribosomal RNA". It matches the Rfam family "Bacterial small subunit ribosomal RNA", at positions 524 to 776 of the family's 1533-position model. The record is from RNAcentral.